This is a long non-coding RNA of Hippoglossus stenolepis (Pacific halibut), 501 nucleotides long. RefSeq lists it as uncharacterized. The transcript has 4 exons. The record is from RefSeq and is a predicted model, not a curated record. NCBI's taxonomy places the organism in Eukaryota, Metazoa, Chordata, Actinopteri, Pleuronectiformes, Pleuronectidae.
GGGACACAAACUCAGGAGCGUUGCUGUUUGGAUUUACACUAAAUAUGAAGAAGCAGAAUUGAGGGUCGUCAGCAUCUGGAUUAAAAUUGUGUCACUUUCAUUGAUGCAAAUAUGUGUAUUUCAUUCCCUUGAAUUACAGACAAUCUCCCACAGUGGUGGCGAAAGGACACUCAACCUACUUUUGACUCCUCCUCUAGUAAUGCUUGGUGAAAAAGAGCCUGUGACAGUUGGAUACUGAUGAUCAGCCUUGAGGAUCACAUGUGGGGGCAUCCACCCAACCUUUGUGACAGGGCUUGCUGUUUACAGUGUUCACAUCUUUAACUGGGGAGCUGCCUGUACAAGAUGCUUCUUUUGAAUCAACCCAGAAAGAGGAACAAGAGCCGUGUGGGGGACUCGUCUCCAAGAGGACAGGGAGAGUCAUUCAGAAGAAAUCUGUCACAAUCAACGAGGGAGAGGUCUCUCCCCAGGUUAUUUGGAAUUUUUUCUCUUUAAUUUUGUACA